AUUGAACGCUGGCGGCAUGCCUUACACAUGCAAGUCGAAAGGUAACGGGUCCUUCGGGAUGACGACGAGUGGCGAACGGGGGAGUAAUAUGUCGGAACGUGUCCAGCAGUAGGGGAUAACUGUACGAAAGAGCAGCUAAUACCGCAGACGACCUGAGGUUGAAAGGGGGGGAUCGCAAGACCUCUAGCCAUUGGAGCGGCCGAUAUCAGAUUAGCUAGUUGGUGGGGUAAAGGCCUACCAAGGCAACGACCUGUAGGUGGUCUGAGAGGACGACCUGCCACACUGGGACUGAGACACGGCCCAGACUCCUACGGGAGGCAGCAGUGGGGAAUUUUGGACAAUGGGCGCAAGCCUGAUCCAGCAAUGCCGCGUGCAGGAAGAAGGCCUUCGGGUUGUAAACUGCUUUUGUCAGGGAAGAAAUCUUCUGGGCUAAUACCCCGGGAGGAUGACGGUACCUGAAGAAUAAGCACCGGCUAACUACGUGCCAGCAGCCGCAGUAA
This 500-nucleotide ribosomal RNA is filed under the name uncultured bacterium. Its description in RNAcentral is "partial 16S ribosomal RNA". It matches the Rfam family "Bacterial small subunit ribosomal RNA", at positions 29 to 523 of the family's 1533-position model. The record is from RNAcentral.